AUAUAUCAAACAAUUCAUACAUUACAAACAAUACAGUCAUCCCAAAUUUGCACAAAAAAAAUGCCACAAAUAAAUAUAAACAUACAACACAUACAAGCAAAAAGUAGGCUAAACCCACUAGAGAGAUGGAAUCUCCCCAGCAGAGUCGCCACUUUUCUGUAGCGGGGUUUUUGUUACCUUUAGGUUUAUUGACUAAAACCAAAAGUAAACAUACAAUUCGAGUCGCCACCCCACUUUUAU
Molecule: long non-coding RNA, 240 nt
Filed under: Lathyrus oleraceus (garden pea)
Lineage: Eukaryota; Viridiplantae; Streptophyta; Magnoliopsida; Fabales; Fabaceae
Description: Pisum sativum (pea) long non-coding RNA (PSAT_LNC033753)
Source: RNAcentral